This is a long non-coding RNA of Suricata suricatta (meerkat), 769 nucleotides long. RefSeq lists it as uncharacterized. NCBI's taxonomy places the organism in Eukaryota, Metazoa, Chordata, Mammalia, Carnivora, Herpestidae. The transcript is spliced from 4 exons. The record is from RefSeq and is a predicted model, not a curated record.
UCCAAAGCUUCUAGAUGAUCCUCCAAUGGAUCUGGAAUACACAAAAAUUGCAGAACAAGUGGCUUAAAGGAAGAAAGGAACCAGGAAAUACAGAAGCAUCCUGCCCAACAUUGUCCUACUUUUGCAAAGGCAGCAAUCAAGACCUGAUGCUCCAAAAGUUACUCAAGGAGAGUAUGGUAUUUCCAGGGACUGAAACUUUGUCUCUAGCACACUGCAGAUAUGAAGGUGAACAUGCCCUCAAGGAGGUGAAAGCCUAGAAAACUCAGAAAGAGUGAUAAGAGCCUGAGAAGCCAAGAGAGAAUACUGCCGUGAAACUGUCUUGAACCUGGGAUACGUAUAGGACCAGAGAUAUAUCUUGGAAGGUGUACAGGGCAUGACCACCAAGUGGAGUCCUGCCAAGGUUCUCCAUCCUGAAAGCUUCAGAACAGCCCAGGGCAAGAACCAAAGCACAGACAGGCUGGGAAGCACUCUGUGAUUCCACCUGCACAACACCUGUCAAAGCUCACAUGAACUAUUUGCCACCACACAAGUAAAUGAAGAAGUGAGUCUAAGAUGAUUUUGAACUAUUGCACAAGAGAUAUUGAGCCACUCUUGCUUCUCUUAUAUCCAUCACAGCACUUCUUUCAUGUACUGGCCAAUCACAAUUUCUGCAAGAGGAUUAGCGGAACAAUGUGAAAUCCCCACUGCUCAUCUGCUCCUGGUGCCAGUAUUGGGAUAGUCAUCACAUACAACCUGAUCUAGAUUCCCUCACCCUUGACAGCCCUUCAGC